This 64-nucleotide transfer RNA is filed under the name Pseudoniphargus stocki. RNAcentral's name for it is "tRNA-Gly". Lineage: Eukaryota; Metazoa; Arthropoda; Malacostraca; Amphipoda; Allocrangonyctidae. The record is from RNAcentral.
UAAGCUUUAAGUUAUACAAACUAGAGGCCUUCCAAGCCUUUCAAAAGAAAAUUCUUAAGCUUAA